Molecule: ribosomal RNA, 105 nt
Filed under: Lepisosteus oculatus (spotted gar)
Lineage: Eukaryota; Metazoa; Chordata; Actinopteri; Semionotiformes; Lepisosteidae
Source: RNAcentral
GCCAGCAGUCAUAUCACCCUGCAACUCACUGAAGCAAAGCAGGUGUGAGCCUUGUCAGUACCUAGAUGGGAGACCUCCUGAGCAAAACUAAGGUUGCUGCUGGAA